AUUUAUAUAGUUUAACAAAACAUUACAUUUUCACUGUAAAAAUAAAUAUUUUUAUUUUAUAAAUA
Molecule: transfer RNA, 65 nt
Filed under: Abraxas latifasciata
Lineage: Eukaryota; Metazoa; Arthropoda; Insecta; Lepidoptera; Geometridae
Description: tRNA-Glu
Source: RNAcentral